RNAcentral lists this ribosomal RNA (1372 nucleotides) under uncultured bacterium. RNAcentral describes it as "bacterial SSU rRNA". It matches the Rfam family "Bacterial small subunit ribosomal RNA", at positions 28 to 1381 of the family's 1533-position model. The record is from RNAcentral.
GAUGAACGCUGGCGGCGUGCCUAAUACAUGCAAGUCGAGCGAACGGACGAGAAGCUUGCUUCUCUGAUGUUAGCGGCGGACGGGUGAGUAACACGUGGGUAACCUACCUAUAAGACUGGGAUAACUUCGGGAAACCGGAGCUAAUACCGGAUAAUAUUUUGAACCGCAUGGUUCAAAAGUGAAAGACGGUCUUGCUGUCACUUAUAGAUGGAUCCGCGCUGCAUUAGCUAGUUGGUAAGGUAACGGCUUACCAAGGCAACGAUGCAUAGCCGACCUGAGAGGGUGAUCGGCCACACUGGAACUGAGACACGGUCCAGACUCCUACGGGAGGCAGCAGUAGGGAAUCUUCCGCAAUGGGCGAAAGCCUGACGGAGCAACGCCGCGUGAGUGAUGAAGGUCUUCGGAUCGUAAAACUCUGUUAUUAGGGAAGAACAUAUGUGUAAGUAACUGUGCACAUCUUGACGGUACCUAAUCAGAAAGCCACGGCUAACUACGUGCCAGCAGCCGCGGUAAUACGUAGGUGGCAAGCGUUAUCCGGAAUUAUUGGGCGUAAAGCGCGCGUAGGCGGUUUUUUAAGUCUGAUGUGAAAGCCCACGGCUCAACCGUGGAGGGUCAUUGGAAACUGGAAAACUUGAGUGCAGAAGAGGAAAGUGGAAUUCCAUGUGUAGCGGUGAAAUGCGCAGAGAUAUGGAGGAACACCAGUGGCGAAGGCGACUUUCUGGUCUGUAACUGACGCUGAUGUGCGAAAGCGUGGGGAUCAAACAGGAUUAGAUACCCUGGUAGUCCACGCCGUAAACGAUGGGUGCUAAGUGUUAGGGGGUUUCCGCCCCUUAGUGCUGCAGCUAACGCAUUAAGCACUCCGCCUGGGGAGUACGACCGCAAGGUUGAAACUCAAAGGAAUUGACGGGGACCCGCACAAGCGGUGGAGCAUGUGGCUUAAUUCGAAGCAACGCGAAGAACCUUACCAAAUCUUGACAUCCUUUGACAACUCUAGAGAUAGAGCCUUCCCCUUCGGGGGACAAAGUGACAGGUGGUGCAUGGUUGUCGUCAGCUCGUGUCGUGAGAUGUUGGGUUAAGUCCCGCAACGAGCGCAACCCUUAAGCUUAGUUGCCAUCAUUAAGUUGGGCACUCUAAGUUGACUGCCGGUGACAAACCGGAGGAAGGUGGGGAUGACGUCAAAUCAUCAUGCCCCUUAUGAUUUGGGCUACACACGUGCUACAAUGGGCAAUACAAAGGGCAGCGAAACCGCGAGGUCAAGCAAAUCCCAUAAAGUUGUUCUCAGUUCGGAUUGUAGUCUGCAACUCGACUACAUGAAGCUGGAAUCGCUAGUAAUCGUAGAUCAGCAUGCUACGGUGAAUACGUUCCCGGGUCU